UAAAAAGGAAAGUGAGAAGGCAUGAACGAAGGCAGGAGUGUCUCUGCCCAGGCCCCAAGACCAGGUGCUAAGGGUCUAAGGACCACUAUGCUCUCAAGUCAUUUUUGAACCGAACUUUAUGUAGAGGUAUUUUAUGUUGCAGCUUUCUCCUUGUACACAGUUUGAAGAUUGUCUUGGAUUUCCCCUGAGAGAAUUUUCCACCACAGGAUAUCUAACAGCUGUAGAGUUGUGUGAUUCUGUCUUUGGGUCGUCCUGGCACCUGAGUGGUUUCCUGGGUUUAUGGAACUACCUUUUUUUUUUUUUAAUUUUCCACAAGAAAUUAAAAAAUUUUUUUUAAGUUUUCAAGAUUCACUUUUUUAAGAUUUUGAGUUGCAAAUUUUCCCCUCCCGCCCCCAGAAGAUGUCAUGCAAUCUGAUAUAUGCCAUACAUGUACAAUCCUAUUAAGCAUAUUUUUAUGGAACUAUUUCACAGUUUCUCUAAGCCUGUAUAGAAGUAUUCCUGGGGGGGGGGGUGUGAAAUAGGGGUAGGAAAAGAAGAGUGCAUAAAUUAACUAGGAAAUUGAAUUUUCAAAUCAAAAUCAAUGCACCAGUACUUGCAUAUCAUUAUUACUUGAAAGAAAAGAUGCAAACGGGAAGGGUUUUUAUGGUAUCCUGGCAAUUUUAUUUUUGCCUUAAGACUUCUGACUGUGGAGUGUAUACUUAAUCAGGUCUCAGUUCUACUUGGAAAACCCUAAACCAUGCAUAAUGGCCAUAGUUUAAAAACUUUGAUUAAAUGAACAUAAAGCCAUAAA
Vombatus ursinus (common wombat) is the source of this 790-nucleotide long non-coding RNA. RefSeq lists it as uncharacterized. The transcript has 2 exons. The record is from RefSeq and is a predicted model, not a curated record. NCBI's taxonomy places the organism in Eukaryota, Metazoa, Chordata, Mammalia, Diprotodontia, Vombatidae.